RNAcentral lists this ribosomal RNA (370 nucleotides) under uncultured organism. RNAcentral describes it as "partial 16S ribosomal RNA". It matches the Rfam family "Bacterial small subunit ribosomal RNA", at positions 527 to 896 of the family's 1533-position model. The record is from RNAcentral.
AGAGGGUGCAAGCGUUAAUCGGAAUUACUGGGCGUAAAGGGUGCGUAGGUGGUAUGUUAAGUCAGAUGUGAAAGCCCUGGGCUCAACCUGGGAACUGCAUUUGAAACUGGCAGACUAGAGUAUGGUAGAGGGAAGUGGAAUUUCCGGUGUAGCGGUGAAAUGCGUAGAUAUCGGAAGGAACACCAGUGGCGAAGGCGGCUUCCUGGACCAUAACUGACACUGAGGCACGAAAGCGUGGGGAGCAAACAGGGAUUAGAUACCCUGGUAGUCCACGCUGUAAACGAUGAGAACUAGAUGUUAGGGUGCUUGCACCUUAGUAUCGUAGCUAACGCGUUAAGUUCUCCGCCUGGGGAGUACGGCCGCAAGGUUA